This 253-nucleotide ribosomal RNA is filed under the name uncultured bacterium. RNAcentral describes it as "partial 16S ribosomal RNA". It matches the Rfam family "Bacterial small subunit ribosomal RNA", at positions 524 to 776 of the family's 1533-position model. The record is from RNAcentral.
GACAGAGGGUGCAACCGUUGGUCGGAAUUACUGGGCGUAAAGCGUGCGUAGACGGCUAUCUAAGUCGGGUGUGAAAGCCCCGGGCUCAACCUGGGAAUUGCAUUCGAGACUGAAUAGCUAGGGUACGGUAGAGGGAAGUGGAAUUUCCGGUGUAGCGGUGAAAUGCGUAGAUAUCGGAAGGAACAUCAGUGGCGAAAGCGACUUCCUGGACCAGUACCGACGUUCAGGCACGAAAGCGUGGGGAGCAAACGGG